UAUUAAAAUUUUCAUCCAUUUCUAUUAUUAAAAACUGUCCUUGUACAUCAGUAUGAGGUACACGUGGCAUGACACUUGCCACUGUUUGGUUAUUCUAUCAACUAUACCAGUUUUUAACAGUACAAAUGGAUGAAAUUUUUAACA
RNAcentral lists this microRNA precursor (144 nucleotides) under Gossypium hirsutum (cotton). RNAcentral's name for it is "MIR7502 microRNA precursor family". It matches the Rfam family "MIR7502 microRNA precursor family". The record is from Rfam by way of RNAcentral. Lineage: Eukaryota; Viridiplantae; Streptophyta; Magnoliopsida; Malvales; Malvaceae.